AUACGGAGGGGGCUAGCGUUGUUCGGAAUUACUGGGCGUAAAGCGCACGUAGGCGGCUUUGUAAGUCAGAGGUGAAAGCCUGGAGCUCAACUCCAGAACUGCCUUUGAGACUGCAUCGCUUGAAUCCAGGAGAGGUCAGUGGAAUUCCGAGUGUAGAGGUGAAAUUCGUAGAUAUUCGGAAGAACACCAGUGGCGAAGGCGGCUGACUGGACUGGUAUUGACGCUGAGGUGCGAAAGCGUGGGGAGCAAACAGGAUUAGAUACCCGUGUAGUCC
Molecule: ribosomal RNA, 274 nt
Filed under: uncultured bacterium
Lineage: Bacteria
Description: partial 16S ribosomal RNA
Rfam family: Bacterial small subunit ribosomal RNA
Source: RNAcentral